AACGAACGCUGGCGGCAUGCCUAAUACAUGCAAGUCGAGCGGCAGCGAGAUGUGUAGCAAUACACAUUGUCGGCGAGCGGCGGACGGGUGAGGAACACGUAGGAACUUGCCUUCUAGAGGGGGAUAACUAAGGGAAACUUUAGCUAAUACCGCGUAAUCUCGAGAGAGUAAAGCUGCCCGCAAGGGUGGCGCUAGAAGAGAGGCCUGCGUCCGAUUAGCUAGUUGGUGAGGUAAAGGCUCUCCAAGGCGAUGAUCGGUAACUGGUCUGAGAGGACGACCAGUCACACUGGGACUGAGACACGGCCCAGACUCCUACGGGAGGCAGCAGUGGGGAAUAUUGGACAAUGGGGGCAACCCUGAUCCAGCGAUGCCGCGUGGGUGAAGAAGGCCUUCGGGUUGUAAAGCCCUUUAGGUUGGGAAGAAGUAAUGGGUGUUAAUACCACCUGUUAUUGACGGUACCGACAGAAUAAGCACCGGCAAACUCUGUGCCAGCAGCCGCCGUAA
This 504-nucleotide ribosomal RNA is filed under the name uncultured bacterium. RNAcentral's name for it is "partial 16S ribosomal RNA". It matches the Rfam family "Bacterial small subunit ribosomal RNA", at positions 29 to 523 of the family's 1533-position model. The record is from RNAcentral.